CUGGGCGUUAAGUUGCAGGGUAUAGACCCGAAACCCGGUGAUCUAGCCAUGGGCAGGUUGAAGGUUGGGUAACACUAACUGGAGGACCGAACCGACUAAUGUUGAAAAAUUAGCGGAUGACUUGUGGCUGGGGGUGAAAGGCCAAUCAAACCGGGAGAUAGCUGGUUCUCCCCGAAAGCUAUUUAGGUAGCGCCUCGUGAAUUCAUCUCCGGGGGUAGAGCACUGUUUCGGCAAGGGGGUCAUCCCGACUUACCAACCCGAUGCAAACUGCGAAUACCGGAGAAUGUUAUCACGGGAGACACACGGCGGGUGCUAACGUCCGUCGUGAAGAGGGAAACAACCCAGACCGCCAGCUAAGGUCCCAAAGUCAUGGUUAAGUGGGAAACGAUGUGGGAAGGCCCAGACAGCCAGGAUGUUGGCUUAGAAGCAGCCAUCAUUUAAAGAAAGCGUAAUAGCUCACUGGUCGAGUCGGCCUGCGCGGAAGAUGUAACGGGGCUAAACCAUGCACCGAAGCUGCGGCAGCGACGCUUAUGCGUUGUUGGGUA
This 545-nucleotide ribosomal RNA is filed under the name Escherichia coli. RNAcentral's name for it is "partial 23S ribosomal RNA". It matches the Rfam family "Bacterial large subunit ribosomal RNA", at positions 688 to 1230 of the family's 2925-position model. The record is from RNAcentral. Lineage: Bacteria; Pseudomonadati; Pseudomonadota; Gammaproteobacteria; Enterobacterales; Enterobacteriaceae.